AAGAACACAGGUAAACAAGAAGAAGCCCUUAAGGAGGAAACACACGUAUCUCUUAAAGAAAUACAGGAAAACACAAUCAAACAGGUGAAGGAAUUGAACAAAACCAUCCAGGAUCUAAAAAUGAAAAUAGAAACAUUAAAGAAAAAAACAAAGGGAGAUGACCCUGAAGAUGGAAGACUUUAGAAAAGAGAUCAGAAGUCACAAAUGCUAACAGAAUACAAGAGACAGAGGAGAGACUCUCAGGCAUAGAAGAUACCAUAGAAGACAUUGGCACAACAGUUUAAGAAAACACAAAAGACAAAAUCUCCUAACUCAAAACAUUCAAGAAAUCCAGGACACAAUGAAAAGCCUGAACCUAAGAAUAAUAGAUAAUAUAAUAUAAGAGAGAGAAGAUUCCCAACUCAAAGGACCAGCAAACAUCUUCAACAACAUUAUAGAGUACUUCCCUAACCUAAAGAAAGAGAUGGCCAUAAAAAAA
RNAcentral lists this long non-coding RNA (478 nucleotides) under Rattus norvegicus (Norway rat). Its description in RNAcentral is "long non-coding RNA NONRATT012567". Lineage: Eukaryota; Metazoa; Chordata; Mammalia; Rodentia; Muridae. The record is from RNAcentral.